RNAcentral lists this ribosomal RNA (1346 nucleotides) under uncultured bacterium. RNAcentral describes it as "partial 16S ribosomal RNA". It matches the Rfam family "Bacterial small subunit ribosomal RNA", at positions 28 to 1381 of the family's 1533-position model. The record is from RNAcentral.
GACGAACGCUGGCGGCGUGCUUAACACAUGCAAGUCGAACGGAAAGGCCCUGCUUUUGUGGGGUGCUCGAGUGGCGAACGGGUGAGUAACACGUGAGUAACCUGCCCUUGACUUUGGGAUAACUUCAGGAAACUGGGGCUAAUACCGGAUAGGAGCUCCUGCUGCAUGGUGGGGGUUGGAAAGUUUCGGCGGUUGGGGAUGGACUCGCGGCUUAUCAGCUUGUUGGUGGGGUAGUGGCUUACCAAGGCUUUGACGGGUAGCCGGCCUGAGAGGGUGACCGGCCACAUUGGGACUGAGAUACGGCCCAGACUCCUACGGGAGGCAGCAGUGGGGAAUAUUGCACAAUGGGCGGAAGCCUGAUGCAGCAACGCCGCGUGCGGGAUGACGGCCUUCGGGUUGUAAACCGCUUUCGCCUGUGACGAAGCGUGAGUGACGGUAAUGGGUAAAGAAGCACCGGCUAACUACGUGCCAGCAGCCGCGGUGAUACGUAGGGUGCGAGCGUUGUCCGGAUUUAUUGGGCGUAAAGGGCUCGUAGGUGGUUGAUCGCGUCGGAAGUGUAAUCUUGGGGCUUAACCCUGAGCGUGCUUUCGAUACGGGUUGACUUGAGGAAGGUAGGGGAGAAUGGAAUUCCUGGUGGAGCGGUGGAAUGCGCAGAUAUCAGGAGGAACACCAGUGGCGAAGGCGGUUCUCUGGGCCUUUCCUGACGCUGAGGAGCGAAAGCGUGGGGAGCGAACAGGCUUAGAUACCCUGGUAGUCCACGCUGUAAACGGUGGGUACUAGGUGUGGGGUCCAUUCCACGGGUUCCGUGCCGUAGCUAACGCUUUAAGUACCCCGCCUGGGGAGUACGGCCGCAAGGCUAAAACUCAAAGGAAUUGACGGGGCCCCGCACAAGCGGCGGAGCAUGCGGAUUAAUUCGAUGCAACGCGUAGAACCUUACCUGGGUUUGACAUGGAUCGGGAGUGCUCAGAGAUGGGUGUGCCUCUUUUGGGGUCGGUUCACAGGUGGUGCAUGGCUGUCGUCAGCUCGUGUCGUGAGAUGUUGGGUUAAGUCCCGCAACGAGCGCAACCCUUGUUCACUGUUGCCAGCACGUUAUGGUGGGGACUCAGUGGAGACCGCCGGGGUCAACUCGGAGGAAGGUGGGGAUGACGUCAAGUCAUCAUGCCCCUUAUGUCCAGGGCUUCACGCAUGCUACAAUGGCUGGUACAGAGAGUGGCGAGCCUGUGAGGGUGAGCGAAUCUCGGAAAGCCGGUCUCAGUUCGGAUUGGGGUCUGCAACUCGACCUCAUGAAGUCGGAGUCGCUAGUAAUCGCAGAUCAGCAACGCUGCGGUGAAUAAAUUCCCGGGGCU